Molecule: long non-coding RNA, 832 nt
Filed under: Mytilus galloprovincialis (Mediterranean mussel)
Lineage: Eukaryota; Metazoa; Mollusca; Bivalvia; Mytilida; Mytilidae
Source: RNAcentral
GGAAAUAACUCUAUAUUUUCAUUGGUAUAGUUUUGAAAUACUACUAAAUGACUUGAAAUGACUUUAGCUCUGCCAGAGAAAAAUGUCAUUCCUAAUUCCAGACCAAAGUUAAAUGUCAUUCUUAUUCCAGGCCAGAGUAAAAUGUAAUUCCUAAUUCCACACCAAAGUUAAAUGUCAUUCUUAUUCCAGGCCAGAGUAAAAUGUAAUUCCUAAUUCCACACCAAAGUUAAAUGUCAUUCUUAUUCCAGGCCAGAGUAAAAUGUCAUUCCUAAUUCAAGAAAAAAGAGGAAGGGAAGAAAAAUGACAUUAGAUUGUGUCUUUGAAAAAAAGCAGAAUGUAAAUAUGAAAUAAAAAACGGACACAAAAUGACCAAAAGAAAAACGCCAAUCAAAAACAUUGUAGGUAAACUGAAGAAUAAACACAAAUCCAACAUAAAAUCCAAAUUAAACUCGGAUGCUACAGAAGGGUUUCCAGAUCAUUUAAUUUUACACCUAGUAAGGCUAGUUAUGAAUUACUGAUUGAUUGUUGGUUGAUUAACGUCCAAAUUUCAAAUAUUGGAUGGUCACAGAAAUUAAGCCAUGCGACAUGCCACCUGAUGAAUGUGGACAUGCAGUAUAAGUGAUGGAUUUAGGUAAAAGUAGAGUCACAAACAGUUAUAGCGGAUGCUGGGAGGCAAUGUAAGCGAUGAAUUCAAGUAAAAAUAAAGCAGUUAUAAAAUAGUAAAUACAGGCGACACAAUAGCUUCUAGAAGUGCUAAACGACAUAGUGUUUUACUGUUUUACAUUGGAUAGUUACUUUAGUGUAUUAAAAACUGAAAUAAAGUAGAUAAAUG